CCUAAGACCAUGGUCAGAGACCUGAUCUGGUCUGUGGACCCUUAUUGGGGACCCACGGGCGUUAAGGAUGCCCCAGAGGUCUCUUAACAAUGAUAAAGGACACGGACAGCAGCAGGAAGAGCUGGCACGUGCUGGCACUAGGCCCAGGGUCCGAGGUGCACUGUUGAAUCCUAGGUCUCCUAAAGGCCACCGUUACUGCUUCUGCCUUAGAAGGUGGAGAUGACGAGGCUCCGGGAGGUCACGUGCCUUGUCCAAGGGGCCACGGAUAGCAGGAGAAGUGGGAUCUGAUUCCAGGUUGUUGACUCCUAAAAAACAGUCCUUUUUGGUGAGGGAGAUGGUGGGGACCCGUCUACAGCAGAGGCAAGCCUGUGGGAUGGGUGUGCUAAUGGCAGAAUGCACAAGCUGGUCAGAGACUAACGCAGGGAUUCGGGAAAUUUCCCCGAAGAAGUGUUGACUCAGGCCUUGAAGAGCAGGAAGGAGGCAUUGGUGGGGGAGGGAGGAGGCACUCUCAGGGGGAUGGACACAGGCGUGGACAGAGGUCUUGGAGAGCCUGGAGGGCCCAGGCCAGACUUUGCUGUUGGAGCCAGCCAAGGGUGGGGUGCAAGAAGGGACAUGAUCCAGUCUGUGGUUUAGGAAUAGAGUUCUACUGGCGACAUGGAGGUUGAACCAACAUGUGCAGAUUAGAAACCUGUGCUGGCAAAUGUUUGGCUGUACAGAUACACUCAGUUGACUGAUUUCUGAGAACACCUUCCUGUUUGGAUGGCCCCACCCCAGAGGAGUUUGUAGCCCUACCAUUAUGCAGGCCGCCAGCAAGUGAGGGGGUUUUCCUGAUCAUGGCUCUCUGUUGUCACCAUCCAGCAGAGCGCCAGGUGCGUAGUAGGAGCUCAGUUAAGAAGACAAGACCCUCUGCCUGACACAGCUUGCUCGAGUACUGGGGUUCUCAACUGCAGCUGCAUAUGAGAAUAUUCUCCCCAGAGCAUUUGAAAGAUGCUGAUGGCUGGGCCCCCGCACUUUACAUUGUGA
This 1023-nucleotide long non-coding RNA is filed under the name Equus caballus (horse). RNAcentral describes it as "lncRNA (ENSECAG00000049022.1)". Lineage: Eukaryota; Metazoa; Chordata; Mammalia; Perissodactyla; Equidae. The record is from RNAcentral.